GUGUAGCGAUACAUGGAGCGGACAAAUACUAAUCGAUCGAGGACUUAACCAA
RNAcentral lists this ribosomal RNA (52 nucleotides) under Listeria innocua. Its description in RNAcentral is "partial 23S ribosomal RNA". Lineage: Bacteria; Bacillati; Bacillota; Bacilli; Caryophanales; Listeriaceae. The record is from RNAcentral.